RNAcentral lists this ribosomal RNA (468 nucleotides) under uncultured bacterium. RNAcentral describes it as "partial 16S ribosomal RNA". It matches the Rfam family "Bacterial small subunit ribosomal RNA", at positions 28 to 507 of the family's 1533-position model. The record is from RNAcentral.
GACGAACGCUGGCGGCGUGCUUAACACAUGCAAGUCGAACGGAAAGGCCCUGCUUUUGUGGGGUGCUCGAGUGGCGAACGGGUGAGUAACACGUGAGUAACCUGCCCUUGACUUUGGGAUAACUUCAGGAAACUGGGGCUAAUACAGGAUAGGAGCUCCUGCUGCAUGGUGGGGGUUGGAAAGUUUCGGCGGUUGGGGAUGGACUCGCGGCUUAUCAGCUUGUUGGUGGGGUAGUGGCUGACCAAGGCUUUGACGGGUAGCCGGCCUGAGAGGGUGACCGGCCACAUUGGGACUGAGAUACGGCCCAGACUCCUACGGGAGGCAGCAGUGGGGAAUAUUGCACAAUGGGCGGAAGCCUGAUGCAGCAACGCCGCGUGCGGGAUGACGGCCUUCGGGUUGUAAACCGCUUUCGCCUGUGACGAAGCGUGAGUGACGGUAAUGGGUAAAGAAGCACCGGCUAACUACGUG